UUAUGCCAUGACAUUGUGUCAAUAUGCGAUGAUGUGUGUGAUGGCACAGCGUCAUCACGUGGUGACGCAACAUCAUGACGUAA
This is a microRNA precursor of Catagonus wagneri (Chacoan peccary), 83 nucleotides long. Ensembl annotates it as microRNA 592. Its record names the gene MIR592. NCBI's taxonomy places the organism in Eukaryota, Metazoa, Chordata, Mammalia, Artiodactyla, Tayassuidae. The record is from Ensembl.